CUUUUAAAGGAUCAAAGUUAAUCCGU
Molecule: transfer RNA, 26 nt
Filed under: Egernia stokesii
Lineage: Eukaryota; Metazoa; Chordata; Lepidosauria; Squamata; Scincidae
Description: partial tRNA-Leu
Source: RNAcentral